Molecule: ribosomal RNA, 361 nt
Filed under: uncultured bacterium
Lineage: Bacteria
Description: partial 16S ribosomal RNA
Rfam family: Bacterial small subunit ribosomal RNA
Source: RNAcentral
CCUACGGGUGGCAGCAGUGGGGAAUAUUGCUCAAUGGCCGUAAGCCUGAACCAGCGAAGUCGCGUGAGGGAAGAAUGCCCUAUGGAUUGUAAACCUCUUUUGUGCGGGAGUACAGGUGUGGACGUGUGGAUGUUUGCAGGUACCGCAUGAAUAAGGACCGGCUAAUUCCGUGCCAGCCGCCGCGGUAAUACGGAGGGUCCGGGCGUUAUCCGGAUUUAUUGGGUUUAACGGGAGCGUAGGCCGGCCUGUAAGCCUGCCGUGAAAUGUUGUGGCUCAACCAUGGGAGUGCCGCUCAAACUGGAGACCUGGAGUGGGGGAGAGGCACGCGGAAUUCGUGGUGUAGCGGUGAAAUGCUUAGAUA